Grammomys surdaster is the source of this 198-nucleotide long non-coding RNA. RefSeq lists it as uncharacterized. The record is from RefSeq and is a predicted model, not a curated record. Lineage: Eukaryota; Metazoa; Chordata; Mammalia; Rodentia; Muridae. The transcript is spliced from 3 exons.
GGAUUGAAUAUGGGAAAACUUUUGUGAGCCAAGAAUGACUGACUCCCAGAGCCUACUGUCUGGAAUGAGAAAAACUGUCUGUGGAAGAUCUGGGAAUGCCACUUGGGACCCGCAAGCCAGACAGCACCCUUCACAGACGCAGUCUGUAAACUGGUCUAACAUACACUGCUCUGCUGACAGGAACCAAUGACGGAUGGG